GUAUUGGGGAUCGAUCAAAGCAGGGAACCAAGGGUGAAACCCUUGUUCACCAAAUUCAAUCAAAUUGUGUAGAAAUUUAGAAGAUAAUCAACUGCAUGAACUCGAAUCUACACCCAUCUAAGCUCGAUUUUAAAGAGGCGUAAAGGAAGAAGGACCCAAUACUAGGAAAUCGGAAGGUUCACAAGAUCGAGGUAAGUCCUCAAUUUAGGCGACUUGGCAAUUUGGAGGGAGCAUAUGCACACAUUAUGAUCAUCAAGCGCUUCCGCUGUUUCGUACUAAUGUUUUGGGUCAAAAUGCUUGUUUUGUAUAACCUCGUUAGUAGUUACACUUUUUAACACUUGAUGUUAUGGUUUUUAGUCGUGUCUAGUCGAACGGGUCGUAGACAUAAUUGUUUUGAUGAUGGUUAAAAUAGGGAUACACUCGUCUUAUGGACGGGUCAUGCCCAAAUUUUGUUAAAUUUGUGCAUUAAUGA
Molecule: long non-coding RNA, 472 nt
Organism: Helianthus annuus (common sunflower)
Lineage: Eukaryota; Viridiplantae; Streptophyta; Magnoliopsida; Asterales; Asteraceae
Exons: 3
Source: RefSeq, a predicted model, not a curated record